CCAGUGCAAGCCCAGUGAGGCCUGGUGCUUCUUGGACCAGCUGCAAACCACCCACACAUUAUCAGAAACAGGAAUAUGUAUUCCAAGAUAGAAGACAACCCUCUCUGAUUCUAUACAAAGCUCCGAAGGCAGAAAGGUGUACUUUAACUGCUUCUGUAUCCUUUCUCCCAUGCUGAAAAAAUCCAGAAUACAUACCAAAAGAUUUAUAACAGUUUUCCUCAUUGCUUUCC
RNAcentral lists this long non-coding RNA (230 nucleotides) under Phasianus colchicus (ring-necked pheasant). RNAcentral's name for it is "lncRNA (ENSPCLG00000016967.1)". The record is from RNAcentral. Lineage: Eukaryota; Metazoa; Chordata; Aves; Galliformes; Phasianidae.